GCAAGUCGCACGAGAAAGUCCCCUUCGGGGGGCGAGUACAGUGGCGAACGGGUGCGUAACACGUGAGCAAUCUGCCUCGAAGCCGGGGAUAACCUUCCUAACGGGGGGCUAAUACCGGAUGUGUUUACCGGGUGGCAUCGCCUGGUGAAUAAAGAUGGCGUGCUGAGCGCUAUCACUUUGAGAUGAGCUCGCGGCCUAUUAGCUUGUUGGUGGGGUAACGGCCCACCAAGGCAACGAUGGGUAGCCGGCCUGAGAGGGUGACC
This 263-nucleotide ribosomal RNA is filed under the name uncultured bacterium. RNAcentral's name for it is "partial 16S ribosomal RNA". It matches the Rfam family "Bacterial small subunit ribosomal RNA", at positions 57 to 305 of the family's 1533-position model. The record is from RNAcentral.